GCUGCCCUAGCUCAGUUGGUAGAGCACGUGACUGAAAAUCACGGGGUCCCCAGUUCAACUCUGGGGGGCAGCA
Molecule: transfer RNA, 73 nt
Filed under: Candidatus Eiseniibacteriota bacterium
Lineage: Bacteria; Candidatus Eiseniibacteriota
Description: tRNA-Phe
Rfam family: tRNA
About the family: Transfer RNA (tRNA) molecules are approximately 80 nucleotides in length.
Source: RNAcentral